Molecule: non-coding RNA, 416 nt
Organism: Cinara cedri
Lineage: Eukaryota; Metazoa; Arthropoda; Insecta; Hemiptera; Aphididae
Source: the annotation of a GenBank genome assembly
AUAGAAAAAAAAAUGUUCAGUUUUACUUGAUUUAAUUUUUACUGUUGUUUUUUUUAAUAUGAGAGCUAUUUAGUUAUCUUGGUUUUUAACCAGAAUUAUUCAGAGUUCAGUUUAAUCUCGUUAUAACGUUCAUACGGAUAAUCGGAUGUAUCUCUAUAGUCGAAACACGAAUUUCGUCAAAAAGUGGAACUGUCUGGCAAUAGUACAAAACCCUUCAAUUUAAUUUUUGAGUAGACUAUACUAAAUGAAAAUGUAUAGUAAAGUUCAGUUUGUUUGAACACAAUAUUAAACAUAUGAACAUCUAUUUGAUUUGAUCACAAAUAAAAAUAUAUUACUUUAAACCAUUUUUAUUGAUAAGUAUAAAAUUAACUUUACUGUGUAACGACGAAGUAACAAAAUAAAUAAAAUACUGUUUA